UCGGAUAUGGUGUAAAGGCUAACAUUACCGCCUCUCAAAGGACCUAUCCUGUCCGCGGUAGCUCGGGGUUCGAUUCCCCGUAUCCGAA
Molecule: non-coding RNA, 88 nt
Organism: Russula brevipes
Lineage: Eukaryota; Fungi; Basidiomycota; Agaricomycetes; Russulales; Russulaceae
Source: the annotation of a GenBank genome assembly